CCGGAUAGUUCCUUGAACCGCAUGGUUCAAGGAUGAAAGACGGUUUCGGCUGUCACUUACAGAUGGACCCGCGGCGCAUUAGCUAGUUGGUGAGGUAACGGCUCACCAAGGCGACGAUGCGUAGCCGACCUGAGAGGGUGAUCGGCCACACUGGGACUGAGACACGGCCCAGACUCCUACGGGAGGCAGCAGUAGGGAAUCUUCCGCAAUGGACGAAAGUCUGACGGAGCAACGCCGCGUGAGUGAUGAAGGUUUUCGGAUCGUAAAGCUCUGUUGUUAGGGAAGAACAAGUGCAAGAGUAACUGCUUGCACCUUGACGGUACCUAACCAGAAAGCCACGGCUAACUACGUGCCAGCAGCCGCGGUAAUACGUAGGUGGCAAGCGUUGUCCGGAAUUAUUGGGCGUAAAGGGCUCGCAGGCGGUUUCUUAAGUCUGAUGUGAAAGCCCCCGGCUCAACCGGGGAGGGUCAUUGGAAACUGGGAAACUUGAGUGCAGAAGAGGAGAGUGGAAUUCCACGUGUAGCGGUGAAAUGCGUAGAGAUGUGGAGGAACACCAGUGGCGAAGGCGACUCUCUGGUCUGUAACUGACGCUGAGGAGCGAAAGCGUGGGGAGCGAACAGGAUUAGAUACCCUGGUAGUCCACGCCGUAAACGAUGAGUGCUAAGUGUUAGGGGGUUUCCGCCCCUUAGUGCUGCAGCUAACGCAUUAAGCACUCCGCCUGGGGAGUACGGUCGCAAGACUGAAACUCAAAGGAAUUGACGGGGGCCCGCACAAGCGGUGGAGCAUGUGGUUUAAUUCGAAGCAACGCGAAGAACCUUACCAGGUCUUGACAUCCUCUGACAACCCUAGAGAUAGGGCUUUCCCUUCGGGGACAGAGUGACAGGUGGUGCAUGGUUGUCGUCAGCUCGUGUCGUGAGAUGUUGGGUUAAGUCCCGCAACGAGCGCAACCCUUGAUCUUAGUUGCCAGCAUUCAGUUGGGCACUCUAAGGUGACUGCCGGUGACAAACCGGAGGAAAGGUGGGGAUGA
Molecule: ribosomal RNA, 1027 nt
Filed under: Bacillus sp. L6-2
Lineage: Bacteria; Bacillati; Bacillota; Bacilli; Caryophanales; Bacillaceae
Description: bacterial SSU rRNA
Rfam family: Bacterial small subunit ribosomal RNA
Source: RNAcentral